AAAUUGAAGAGUUUGAUCAUGGCUCAGAUUGAACGCUGGCGGCAGGCCUAACACAUGCAAGUCGAACGGUAACAGGAAGAAGCUUGCUUCUUUGCUGACGAGUGGCGGACGGGUGAGUAAUGUCUGGGAAACUGCCUGAUGGAGGGGGAUAACUACUGGAAACGGUAGCUAAUACCGCAUAAUGUCGCAAGACCAAAGAGGGGGACCUUCGGGCCUCUUGCCAUCGGAUGUGCCCAGAUGGGAUUAGCUAGUAGGUGGGGUAACG
RNAcentral lists this ribosomal RNA (265 nucleotides) under Escherichia coli. RNAcentral describes it as "partial 16S ribosomal RNA". It matches the Rfam family "Bacterial small subunit ribosomal RNA", at positions 1 to 262 of the family's 1533-position model. Lineage: Bacteria; Pseudomonadati; Pseudomonadota; Gammaproteobacteria; Enterobacterales; Enterobacteriaceae. The record is from RNAcentral.